This 253-nucleotide ribosomal RNA is filed under the name uncultured Methyloversatilis sp. RNAcentral describes it as "partial 16S ribosomal RNA". It matches the Rfam family "Bacterial small subunit ribosomal RNA", at positions 524 to 776 of the family's 1533-position model. The record is from RNAcentral. Lineage: Bacteria; Pseudomonadati; Pseudomonadota; Betaproteobacteria; Nitrosomonadales; Sterolibacteriaceae.
UACGUAGGGUGCGAGCGUUAAUCGGAAUUACUGGGCGUAAAGCGUGCGCAGGCGGCGACAUAAGACAGAUGUGAAAUCCCCGGGCUCAACCUGGGAACGGCGUUUGUGACUGUGUGGCUAGAGUGUAGCAGAGGGGGGUGGAAUUCCACGUGUAGCAGUGAAAUGCGUAGAGAUGUGGAGGAACACCGAUGGCGAAGGCAGCCCCCUGGGUUAACACUGACGCUCAUGCACGAAAGCGUGGGGAGCAAACAGG